Molecule: ribosomal RNA, 403 nt
Filed under: uncultured bacterium
Lineage: Bacteria
Description: partial 16S ribosomal RNA
Rfam family: Bacterial small subunit ribosomal RNA
Source: RNAcentral
GACGAACGCUGGCGGCGUGCCUAAUACAUGCAAGUCGAACGCAGUGGGGACGGGUGAGUAACACGUGGGUAACCUCCCAUCAGAGGGGAUAACACUUGGAAACAGGUGCUAAACCGAUACUGAUGGAUGGAACCGCGGUGCAUUAGCCAGUUGGUGAGGUAACGGCGCCUCAAGGCCACGAUGCAUAGCCGACAUGAGAGGGUGAUCGGCAACACUGAGACGAAGACAAGGCCCAGACUCAUACGGGAGGCAGCAGUAGGGAAUCUUCGGCAAUGGACUAAAGUCUGACCGGGCAACGCCGCGUGAGUGAAGAAGGUUUUCGGAUCGUAAAACUCUGUUGUUGGGAAAGCGGUAUCUAACCAGAAAGCCACGGCUAACUACGUGCCAGCAGCCGCGGUAAUUC